CCUACGGGAGGCUGCAGUGGGGAAUAUUGGACAAUGGGGGGAACCCUGAUCCAGCCAUGCCGCGUGUGUGAAGAAGGCCCUCGGGUUGUAAAGCACUUUCAGUGAGGAAGAACGCCUGAUGGUUAAUACCCAUCAGGAAAGACAUCACUCACAGAAGAAGCACCGGCUAACUCCGUGCCAGCAGCCGCGGUAAUACGGAGGGUGCGAGCGUUAAUCGGAAUUACUGGGCGUAAAGCGCGCGUAGGUGGCUUGAUAAGCCGGUUGUGAAAGCCCCGGGCUCAACCUGGGAACGGCAUCCGGAACUGUCAAGCUAGAGUGCAGGAGAGGAAGGUAGAAUUCCCGGUGUAGCGGUGAAAUUCGUAGAGAUCGGGAGGAAUACCAGUGGCGAAGGCGGCCUUCUGGACUGACACUGACACUGAGGUGCGAAAGCGUGGGUAGCAAACAGGAUUAGAUACCCCUGUAGUC
This 465-nucleotide ribosomal RNA is filed under the name Vreelandella stevensii. RNAcentral's name for it is "partial 16S ribosomal RNA". It matches the Rfam family "Bacterial small subunit ribosomal RNA", at positions 338 to 795 of the family's 1533-position model. Lineage: Bacteria; Pseudomonadati; Pseudomonadota; Gammaproteobacteria; Oceanospirillales; Halomonadaceae. The record is from RNAcentral.